GGCAAGAUGGCCGAGUUGGUCUAAGGCGCUAGCUUCAGGUUUCAAUCCGCUGAUUGAGACAUGAUCUUGCUAGUCUAGUAAUAGGCGUGGGUUCGAAUCCCACUCUUGUCA
RNAcentral lists this transfer RNA (111 nucleotides) under Pyricularia grisea. Its description in RNAcentral is "tRNA-Leu". It matches the Rfam family "tRNA". From Rfam's summary of the family: Transfer RNA (tRNA) molecules are approximately 80 nucleotides in length. Their secondary structure includes four short double-helical elements and three loops (D, anti-codon, and T loops). The record is from RNAcentral. Lineage: Eukaryota; Fungi; Ascomycota; Sordariomycetes; Magnaporthales; Pyriculariaceae.